RNAcentral lists this ribosomal RNA (497 nucleotides) under uncultured bacterium. RNAcentral's name for it is "partial 16S ribosomal RNA". It matches the Rfam family "Bacterial small subunit ribosomal RNA", at positions 28 to 507 of the family's 1533-position model. The record is from RNAcentral.
GAUGAACGCUGGCGGCGUGCCUAAUACAUGCAAGUCGAGCGAACAGACGAGGAGCUUGCUCCUCUGACGUUAGCGGCGGACGGGUGAGUAACACGUGGAUAACCUACCUAUAAGACUGGGAUAACUUCGGGAAACCGGAGCUAAUACCGGAUAAUAUAUUGAACCGCAUGGUUCAAUAGUGAAAGACGGUUUUGCUGUCACUUAUAGAUGGAUCCGCGCUGCAUUAGCUAGUUGGUAAGGUAACGGCUUACCAAGGCAACGAUGCGUAGCCGACCUGAGAGGGUGAUCGGCCACACUGGAACUGAGACACGGUCCAGACUCCUACGGGAGGCAGCAGUAGGGAAUCUUCCGCAAUGGGCGAAAGCCUGACGGAGCAACGCCGCGUGAGUGAUGAAGGUCUUCGGAACGUAAAACUCUGUUAUUAGGGAAGAACAAAUGUGUAAGUAACUAUGCACGUCUUGACGGUACCUAAUCAGAAAGCCACGGCUAACUACGUG